AUGAACGCUGGCGGCGUGCCUAAUACAUGCAAGUCGAGCGAACGGACGAGAAGCUUGCUUUUCUGAUGUUAGCGGCGGACGGGUGAGUAACACGUGGAUAACCUACCUAUAAGACUGGGAUAACUUCGGGAAACCGGAGCUAAUACCGGAUAAUAUUUUGAACCGCAUGGUUCAAAAGUGAAAGACGGUCUUGCUGUCACUUAUAGAUGGAUCCGCGCUGCAUUAGCUAGUUGGUAAGGUAACGGCUUACCAAGGCAACGAUGCAUAGCCGACCUGAGAGGGUGAUCGGCCACACUGGAACUGAGACACGGUCCAGACUCCUACGGGAGGCAGCAGUAGGGAAUCUUCCGCAAUGGGCGAAAGCCUGACGGAGCAACGCCGCGUGAGUGAUGAAGGUCUUCGGAUCGUAAAACUCUGUUAUUAAGGAAGAACAUAUGUGUAAGUAACUGUGCACAUCUUGACGGUACCUAAUCAGAAAGCCACGGCUAACUACGUG
RNAcentral lists this ribosomal RNA (496 nucleotides) under uncultured bacterium. Its description in RNAcentral is "partial 16S ribosomal RNA". It matches the Rfam family "Bacterial small subunit ribosomal RNA", at positions 29 to 507 of the family's 1533-position model. The record is from RNAcentral.